RNAcentral lists this ribosomal RNA (270 nucleotides) under uncultured archaeon. RNAcentral's name for it is "partial 16S ribosomal RNA". It matches the Rfam family "Archaeal small subunit ribosomal RNA", at positions 477 to 747 of the family's 1478-position model. The record is from RNAcentral.
CAGCACCCCAAGUGGUCAGGAUGAUUAUUGGGCCUAAAGCAUCCGUAGCCGGCUCUGUAAGUUUUCGGUUAAAUCUGUACGCUCAACGUACAGGCUGCCGGGAAUACUGCAGAGCUAGGGAGUGGGAGAGGUAGACGGUACUCGGUAGGAAGGGGUAAAAUCCUUUGAUCUAUUGAUGACCACCUGUGGCGAAGGCGGUCUACCAGAACACGUCCGACGGUGAGGGAUGAAAGCUGGGGGAGCAAACCGGAUUAGAUACCCGAGUAGUCC